This 89-nucleotide microRNA precursor is filed under the name Olea europaea subsp. europaea. Lineage: Eukaryota; Viridiplantae; Streptophyta; Magnoliopsida; Lamiales; Oleaceae. The record is from RNAcentral.
ACAGACACACACACACACACACACACACACACACACACAUAUAUAUAUAUAUAUGUGUGUGUGUGUGUGUGUGUGUGUGUGUGUAUUGU